Long non-coding RNA from Perca flavescens (yellow perch), 512 nucleotides. RefSeq lists it as uncharacterized. The record is from RefSeq and is a predicted model, not a curated record. The transcript has 3 exons. NCBI's taxonomy places the organism in Eukaryota, Metazoa, Chordata, Actinopteri, Perciformes, Percidae.
CGAGUUAAACCAGCUGAUACUAACCAAAUCACACUCAUCAGCACCAUCCGUCUGCUGGUUCCAGACCUGGUUGUGGUACCAGUGCCUGGAGAUGAUGUCACUCUGCCAUGUCAGGCUGCUGGUUCCUCCAUCAGAGCUGUAGAGUGGACCAGACCUGACCUGGAACCAGAGUACGUCCUCUUAUACAGAGAUGGACACCUGGAGACAGACCACCAGCAUCCAUCCUUUAAGGACAGGGUGGAGCUGGUGGACAGAGAUCUGAAGGACGGAGACGUGUCUUUAAUUCUGAAGAAUGUGAACAGCAUCGACAACGGGACAUACGAGUGUCGAGUUAAACCAGCUGGUUCAAGGCGGGAAAGAAGAGCCAUCAUUGACUCUGAGCCAAUCAGAAUCAUCCGUCUGCAGGUUCCAGAGCCAGCAGGUCCAAACAGUGGACGCCCCGAGGAUGGAAACCCAAAGAAUGAUGUCCCUGAGGACAGAAACUCCUCUCCUGUAGUCCUCAUCGUUGGACU